RNAcentral lists this unclassified non-coding RNA (694 nucleotides) under Hevea brasiliensis (rubber tree). Lineage: Eukaryota; Viridiplantae; Streptophyta; Magnoliopsida; Malpighiales; Euphorbiaceae. The record is from RNAcentral.
GGAAAAACUAAAGCUAGCCCUUGGCGAGGAGACAUUUGUUAGGUUGGGGUUUUGUGACAUGGGAGAGGUAGUGGCAGAAAAAUGGAGUGAAGAGGAAGAGGAACUAUUUCAUGAGGUUGUAUUGUCCAAUCCUGCCUCGUUAGGCAAUAAUUUUUGGAACCAUCUUGCAGUUGAGUUUCCUUCACGGCGUAGGGAAGAACUUGUCAGCUAUUAUUUUAAUGUCUUUAUUUUGCGAAAACGUGCCGAGCAGAACAGAUUUGAUCCACUGAACAUAGACAGUGAUAAUGAUGAGUGGCAUGACGCAGUUGAUGAUGCUGACGAGGCAGCUAAAAUGACAGAUGAAGAUGAGGACUCUGUGGUUGAAUCUCCAGCACAUCAUAAUGGUCUCAGCUACAAUAUGAUCCAUGAGGAGCGCGAUAGACGAACAUAUGAUGAGGAUGCGCAUGAAGCAAUAUGUGAAGAUUAUAAGCCUGUAAAUUUCGGUAGCAGGAAGGUCUUCACUGAUGUGCAGGAAUCAUGUCCUAGUAAGUUUUUUGAUAGUAACAACAGUUUUAAAGUUGGCAUGCAGCCUCAAGACCAAGGACUAUCAAGUAAAGUGGUUGAGUCCUGUACAACUGAUGCAGCUGGGGUUACUUCAGAAUCAUCACUAGGGAAGACUAACAAUGAUAACCAUUGGGCAAGUGAUAUUGCUGGA